This 500-nucleotide ribosomal RNA is filed under the name uncultured bacterium. RNAcentral describes it as "partial 16S ribosomal RNA". It matches the Rfam family "Bacterial small subunit ribosomal RNA", at positions 30 to 523 of the family's 1533-position model. The record is from RNAcentral.
AUUGAACGCUGGCGGAAUGCUUUACACAUGCAAGUCGAGCGGCAGCACGGACUUCGGUCUGGUGGCGAGUGGCGAACGGGUGAGUAAUACAUCGGAACGUGCCCAGUCGUGGGGGAUAACGUAGCGAAAGCUACGCUAAUACCGCAUACGAUCUAAGGAUGAAAGCGGGGGAUCGCAAGACCUCGCGCGAUUGGAGCGGCCGAUGGCAGAUUAGGUAGUUGGUAGGGUAAAGGCCUACCAAGCCGACGAUCUGUGGCUGGUCUGAGAGGAUGAUCAGCCACACUGGGACUGUGACACGGCCCAGACUCCUACGGGAGGCAGCAGUGGGGAAUUUUGGACAAUGGACGCAAGUCUGAUCCAGCCAUUCCGCGUGCAGGAUGAAGGCCCUCGGGUUGUAAACUGCUUUUGUACAGAACGAAAAGGCUCUGGUUAAUACCUGGGGCUCAUGACGGUACUGUAAGAAUAAGCACCGGCUAACUACGUGCCAGCCGCCGCCGUAA